ACGGUCAAAUAACUUUGAAACACCGGUUCCCGUACGAUCACCGAAGUUAAACAACGUUGAGCCUGGUCAGUACUUAGAUGGGUGACUGCUUGAGAAUACCAGAUGCU
Acanthosepion pharaonis is the source of this 107-nucleotide non-coding RNA. Lineage: Eukaryota; Metazoa; Mollusca; Cephalopoda; Sepiida; Sepiidae. The record is from the annotation of a GenBank genome assembly.